AGUGAACGCUGGCGGUAGGCCUAACACAUGCCAGUCGAACGGCAGCACAGUAAGAGCUUGCUCUUACGGGUGGCGAGUGGCGGACGGGUGAGGAAUACAUCGGAAUCUACUUUUUCGUGGGGGAUAACGUAGGGAAACUUACGCUAAUACCGCAUACGACCUACGGGUGAAAGCAGGGGAUCUUCGGACCUUGCGCGAUUGAAUGAGCCGAUGUCGGAUUAGCUAGUUGGCGGGGUAAAGGCCCACCAAGGCGACGAUCCGUAGCUGGUCUGAGAGGAUGAUCAGCCACACUGGAACUGAGACACGGUCCAGACUCCUACGGGAGGCAGCAGUGGGGAAUAUUGGACAAUGGGCGCAAGCCUGAUCCAGCCAUACCGCGUGGGUGAAGAAGGCCUUCGGGUUGUAAAGCCCUUUUGUUGGGUAAGAAAAGCAGCAGGUUAAUACCCCGCUGUUCUGACGGUACCCAAAGAAUAAGCACCGGCUAACUUCGUG
Molecule: ribosomal RNA, 492 nt
Filed under: uncultured bacterium
Lineage: Bacteria
Description: partial 16S ribosomal RNA
Rfam family: Bacterial small subunit ribosomal RNA
Source: RNAcentral